This 77-nucleotide transfer RNA is filed under the name Christensenellaceae bacterium. RNAcentral describes it as "tRNA-Arg". It matches the Rfam family "tRNA". From Rfam's summary of the family: Transfer RNA (tRNA) molecules are approximately 80 nucleotides in length. Their secondary structure includes four short double-helical elements and three loops (D, anti-codon, and T loops). The record is from RNAcentral. Lineage: Bacteria; Bacillati; Bacillota; Clostridia; Christensenellales; Christensenellaceae.
GUUCCGGUAACUCAGCUGGAUAGAGUAACGCCCUUCUAAGGCGUAAGUCGUGCGUUCGAAUCGCACCCGGAACACCA